Molecule: ribosomal RNA, 301 nt
Filed under: uncultured bacterium
Lineage: Bacteria
Description: bacterial SSU rRNA
Rfam family: Bacterial small subunit ribosomal RNA
Source: RNAcentral
GGAAUUACUGGGCGUAAAGCGUGCGUAGGUGGUUAUUUAAGUCCGUUGUGAAAGCCCUGGGCUCAACCUGGGAACUGCAGUGGAUACUGGAUGACUAGAAUGUGGUAGAGGGUAGCGGAAUUCCUGGUGUAGCAGUGAAAUGCGUAGAGAUCAGGAGGAACAUCCAUGGCGAAGGCAGCUACCUGGACCAACAUUGACACUGAGGCACGAAAGCGUGGGGAGCAAACAGGAUUAGAUACCCUGGUAGUCCACGCCCUAAACGAUGCGAACUGGAUGUUGGGUGCACUUUGGCACGCAGUAU